This 69-nucleotide transfer RNA is filed under the name Creobroter jiangxiensis. Its description in RNAcentral is "tRNA-Val". The record is from RNAcentral. Lineage: Eukaryota; Metazoa; Arthropoda; Insecta; Mantodea; Hymenopodidae.
CAGGUUAAACUUAUAGUUAAGAUUUUCAUUUACACUGAAAUAAUAAUCGUGCAAUUCGGUGUAAUCUGA